GAUGAACGCUGGCGGCGUGCUUAAUACAUGCAAGUCGAGCGAACGGACGAGAAGCUUGCUUCUCUGAUGUUAGCGGCGGACGGGUGAGUAACACGUGGAUAACCUACCUAUAAGACUGGGAUAACUUCGGGAAACCGGAGCUAAUACCGGAUAAUAUUUUGAACCGCAUGGUUCAAAAGUAAAAGACGGUCUUGCUGUCACUUAUAGAUGGAUCCGCGCUGCAUUAGCUAGUUGGUAAGGUAACGGCUUACCAAGGCAACGAUGCAUAGCCGACCUGAGAGGGUGAUCGGCCACACUGGAACUGGGACACGGUCCAGACUCCUACGGGAGGCAGCAGUAGGGAAUCUUCCGCAAUGGGCGAAAGCCUGACGGAGCAACGCCGCGUGAGUGAUGAAGGUCUUCGGAUCGUAAAACUCUGUUAUUAGGGAAGAACAUAUGUGUAAGUAACUGUGCACAUCUUGACGGUACCUAAUCAGAAAGCCACGGCUAACUACGUG
RNAcentral lists this ribosomal RNA (497 nucleotides) under uncultured bacterium. Its description in RNAcentral is "partial 16S ribosomal RNA". It matches the Rfam family "Bacterial small subunit ribosomal RNA", at positions 28 to 507 of the family's 1533-position model. The record is from RNAcentral.